CUCUUUCUACAGACCAGAUCACUAAAUGAAGAAAAACCACAGCUGCUAUCGGAACUGACAGCCCCCCGCCCNGAUGCUUGAGAAAACCUGAUGUGGGGAACAAGGCAGUCUCUGGAGUUGAAAGCAGAUUAACUUCUAUAUGCCUGAGAUACAUCCACGUACCUUUGGCAAGAGAGAAUGAAAUUGCUUUCUGAACAAGCACUGGAAAUUGAGUACCAAUCGCCAAAAGUACCGACGACAGCAUGAACAUUUCCUUAAUGGGAGCAGAGAUAUGACCCCAGUCCCAUCCGUCUCUCUGUUGUCUGUUAUUAUUUCUAAGUGCAAAAUAUUAAUGCUGUGUAGAAAUAAAAUUGAACCCUG
Molecule: long non-coding RNA, 360 nt
Filed under: Salvator merianae (Argentine black and white tegu)
Lineage: Eukaryota; Metazoa; Chordata; Lepidosauria; Squamata; Teiidae
Description: lncRNA (ENSSMRG00000022518.1)
Source: RNAcentral